This 465-nucleotide ribosomal RNA is filed under the name uncultured bacterium. Its description in RNAcentral is "partial 16S ribosomal RNA". It matches the Rfam family "Bacterial small subunit ribosomal RNA", at positions 338 to 795 of the family's 1533-position model. The record is from RNAcentral.
CCUACGGGAGGCAGCAGUGGGGCAUAUUGCGCAAUGGGCGAAAGCCUGACGCAGCGACGCCGCGUGAGGGAUGAAGGUCUUCGGAUCGUAACCCUCUGUCAGCCGGGAAGAACGGACACUGUGCUAAUCAGCAGUGAAUUGACGGUACCUGCAAAGGAAGCACCGGCUAACUCCGUGCCAGCAGCCGCGGUAAUACGGAGGGUGGGAGCGUUAAUCGGAAGUACUGGGCGUAAAGCGCUCGUAAGCGGUAUGUCAAGUCAAGGGUGAAAUCCCCGCGCUCAACGUGGGAACUGCCUUUGAAACUGGCAAACUUGAGUGUGUGAGAGGAUAGUGGAAUUGCAGGGGUAGGAGUGAAAGCCGGAGAUAUCUGGAGGAACAUCAGUGGCGAAGGCGAUUAUCUGGCACAUAACUGACGCUGAGGAGCGAAAGCGUGGGUAGCAAACAGGAUUAGAUACCCUUGUAGUC